This 447-nucleotide ribosomal RNA is filed under the name uncultured bacterium. RNAcentral's name for it is "partial 16S ribosomal RNA". It matches the Rfam family "Bacterial small subunit ribosomal RNA", at positions 29 to 523 of the family's 1533-position model. The record is from RNAcentral.
AACGAACGCUGGCGGCAGGCUUAACACAUGCAAGUCGAGCGCCCCGCAAGGGGAGCGGCAGACGGGUGAGUAACGCGUGGGAAUCUACCGUGCCCUACGGAAUAACGCAUGGAAACGUGUGCUAAUACCGUAUACGCCCUACGGGGGAAAGAUUUGUCGGGGUAGGAUGAGCCCGCGUUGGAUUAGCUAGUUGGUGGGGUAAAGGCCUACCAAGGCGACGAUCCAUAGCUGGUCUGAGAGGAUGAUCAGCCACAUUGGGACUGAGACACGGCCCAAACUCCUACGGGAGGCAGCAGUGGGUAAUAUUGGACAAUGGGCGCAAGGCUGAUCCAGCCAUGCCGCGUGAGUGAUGAAGGUCUUAGGAUUGUAAAGCCCUUUCACCGGUGAAGAUAAUGACGGUAGCCGGAGAAGAAGCCCCGGCUAACUUCGUGCCAGCCGCCGCCGUAA